GUUCGUUUUUGGGAGAUUUAAUGCAAGCAAAUAUUUGACUAUAUAUUGUUUUCUGAGGUUACAACUAUUAAGUUUUACAAGACACUGUCCACCAAAGGAUCAUUAAUUUGAUUCUGCAGCACAAAGACGUGUCCCUGCAAUGCUUCAUCCCAGCGAUGGAGUUUGUUUUUCUUCUGGAUCCUGCUGGAAAGCUACUGGGGUAAAGGUCAGUGGUGAAACGUCACAACUCUGCAACUUGAGUAGGAUAACAACAUUUUCUCAGAGGUCCUCACUUGAAGGGUCGUUCAAGUGAAAUGAUCCGCUGGGAACAGUCCUUGCUAUCUGGGAUUCUUGGGACAUCCCUACACCAUUGAAGUAGAAAUUGAAAAUGGUUAAGUACGGGUUAUGAUUAAGGUUAGGUUUAGGGUUGGAGUUGGGACAUCCCAGUGAACUACGAGCUUCCG
Long non-coding RNA from Oncorhynchus tshawytscha (Chinook salmon), 443 nucleotides. NCBI's taxonomy places the organism in Eukaryota, Metazoa, Chordata, Actinopteri, Salmoniformes, Salmonidae. The record is from Ensembl.